Molecule: transfer RNA, 74 nt
Filed under: compost metagenome
Description: tRNA-Met
Rfam family: tRNA
About the family: Transfer RNA (tRNA) molecules are approximately 80 nucleotides in length. Their secondary structure includes four short double-helical elements and three loops (D, anti-codon, and T loops). Further hydrogen bonds mediate the characteristic L-shaped molecular structure. tRNAs have two regions of fundamental functional importance: the anti-codon, which is responsible for specific mRNA codon recognition, and the 3' end, to which the tRNAs corresponding amino acid is attached (by aminoacyl-tRNA synthetases). tRNAs cope with the degeneracy of the genetic code in two manners: having more than one tRNA (with a specific anti-codon) for a particular amino acid; and 'wobble' base-pairing, i.e. permitting non-standard base-pairing at the 3rd anti-codon position.
Source: RNAcentral
UGCGGGAUAGAGAAGCGGUCAACUCGCUGGGCUCAUACCCCGGAGAUCGCCGGUUCGAAUCCGGCUCCCGCAAC